CUAGUAUUUAAACUUAUAUGUGAAAUGAAACAAACUUUUAAUAUAUUCGGGUUACUCGGUAACGGACUUAUCAAAGAAUGAGGAUUCAUGAGCUUGAAUGUAGAGGGAUUCAUUGUGCAUGGAGGUGUGUCGGACUUCUGUUGCUGGAGGGUUGUGCUACAUGAUUACAUCAUUCUACAAUGGCACAAAUUCACAUAGAUUCAUGUGAGAUUAGGUAGGAGUUUUCACAAAGCUGGUGGCUGGCAAAUAUUUGUAACAGAGGAAAGAAGCUAUUCUGUGUGAAGAGGUAUCUAUCAGAAAUACAUAUUCAGUCAAAUCCACUCAUCAUGAUCUUGCACUUCGCAACUACCACUGCUGCUGUGAUUCUUACAGCUGAUCUUCAUGCCACUACAGUGACAUCAGGGGAAGAUUUAUUGUCUCAGAAAGUAAUAGUUCUGGUUUGAAGGUAGUUGCCCACCUUUUUACAGUCAUAUGUAGUUCCCGUUUGUUUAUUCCUUGGAAUCCUUCUAAGUCCCGUUACCUUUCUCCUAUUCUCAUUCUGGGUUGGAGUUCCCAGAUACCUCAUCUGGCUUAUUCUUCCCUUUCACUGGAUAUUUGUCAUCUUUUCCAUGUGUCUUCAUAUGAAAUCCAUCACUGUACCAUGUCCCAGGCUUCUUAUUUCUGUUAUACAUUGGAGGAUGCCAGUUGUGCCAGUUUGUGGACCACUCCCUAUACCUACACUGAUCUUUAUCUUCACCACCCAGCCGUUUCCUGCUGUACAGGUUUUCCUCUUCCUUCCGUCCCCAUUUUGCACUCCAUGAUUCCUCUAUGUGUGGGUAAGUGCUCCUUUUUUUUUCUACUUUUUCUUUGCACAGUGAGACAACUUUUUCCCACACUUAAAAAGAUAAUUUUUUUUUCAAGCUUUACAGUAGUACCUUUUCAAAUGCUUUCUGAAUAUCCUGAUAUACAAAAUCCACACCCUUAACCUCAUCUAAUAAGCAGUAAUCUCUUCAAAGUAUGUCAAAAGAUUAUUAAGGCAAGAUUUCCAUGUUGAAACCAUGUUGACUAUCCAACAGAAUUGUAAAUUUUGUCAAGUACUUUACAAAAAUCUUUUAUCAAACUUUCAAAAACUUUUCCCACCACUGAUGUAAGAUUAAUAUGCCUAUAAUUAUAAUGACAAUUUAUUUCACCUCCUUUGAAAAAAGGAUUUAAUUAGUCAAUUUCCAAUUACUAAUACCAAACUUUUACUUUGCUCUUAAGAUGUAUUGAGAAAUUUUAGACAGAUUCCAAUGCAUUUUGUAAGUUUUUAAAACAUAAUCUUAAAUUCUUAAUUAAAUAUAAUCUUAUUUGCAUUUAUUCUUCUGCUUACAUGGACAGUUAUUCCAGUGAAAGGUAACUUAUGUUAUUCAGUAUAUUACACAUAAUUUAUUGUGACUAGAGUUACCACCAGUUACAGAAAUGUUUUUUUAUUCAUAUCUGAAAUGCAGCAUUUCAUUUCUGGUAACAACAAAACAUGAGUUGUUCCAUAUUUUACCUAUUUUGUUUUUUAAAAUUUAGUUUCUGACAUGAUGACAAUUCUGAAAAUUAUCAAACACCAACAAAAUAUUUCUUUUUUUAGAGCUAUUUGGGUAACUAUUCUAAUUCUGAGAUGGAUGUAUACUAUUAUAUAAUAAGUUUUUAAAUGAAGUGGUGAUCUUAUGUCUCUACAAUAAUUGUUCAAGGGGUCCAUACUUUCAUGGAAAAGAAUACUACAAGUUCAAAUUUUUUAUAAAGUAGUGAAACAAUUUUGUGUACAUAGUUUUCAGGUAAAAGAAAUCAAGACUGUCCAAACACCAGAACUGUCAUUUUUGUUGUUGUGUUCCUCCUUUUUUUUAGUAUUUGCUUUAUUAUAACUUUUCCUUACAAAGUAAUUUUUGUCAAUUUUAAGGGUUUUGUUUUUGUCAAGUCAGUACAAUGUACUCUGUAUGUUUAGUAUGAAUUGCCUUAAACACUGACAAGUCUUUUUUUUUGUUGUUGUUUAUUUGUUUGAUAUGCUGAUGUUUUAUGUGAUUUUUUUAAGCAUGGAAAGAAUUGUUUUUUGACUUCAAGAAGCGUGUUGCACACUGAUGAAAACAAGGUUAAGUUGCAUCAACCAGUAAAUAUAGAACUGUAUUUAUUAAAUGCUAAAAACAGAAAUCUUUUUUUCUUCUUAUUUAUUUUAAAAUCAAACUAAAAAUAUAUUAUAAAGUUCAACAUUUGUAACAAAUAUUAAUCUUUAUUUCCAUGGCAGAGCAUUAUAAGAAUUACUUCAUUGGUUUGUUAUUGGUGUGUUGUGAGUAUAUUACAUAAUAAACUAAAGGUGUUUUUAUUUAAUGAUAUUUGCAACAUAUGUACUUGUGCAGCAAAAUGUGUUUUGAAGAGUCUUGGAACAUUAGAUGAUGUGUGUUCCAGUAGAAACUGAGAGAUAUGGAAAUACUGAACAUCCAGCAGUAAAAGACUGAUAGAACUACAACUCAAGGUGGAACCAAUAGCAAUUUUUCAAUAGAGUGAACAACAAGAAUUCUGGUUGUUUUCUUUCCAAAGUACUUUAUAGCGAGUUUUGUGUUAAAAAAAGGAAACAUUGUUGUGUUCUAUACGUUAAUAAAAUGAUGUUAGUUUAAGAUACAAUAACAAUGUGAUGUGUACUUUUUACAUGUACAUUUUCACUUUGCCUAUUUAGCACACCUAUAAAAU
Molecule: long non-coding RNA, 2691 nt
Filed under: Limulus polyphemus (Atlantic horseshoe crab)
Lineage: Eukaryota; Metazoa; Arthropoda; Merostomata; Xiphosura; Limulidae
Description: uncharacterized LOC111087580
Source: RNAcentral